GAUGAACGCUAGCGGGAGGCCUAACACAUGCAAGCCGAGCGGUAUUUGUUCUUCGGAACAGAGAGAGCGGCGCACGGGUGCGGAACACGUGUGCAACCUGCCUUUAUCUGGGGGAUAGCCUUUCGAAAGGAAGAUUAAUACCCCAUAAUAUAUUGAGUGGCAUCAUUUGAUAUUGAAAACUCCGGUGGAUAGAGAUGGGCACGCGCAAGAUUAGAUAGUUGGUGAGGUAACGGCUCACCAAGUCAAUGAUCUUUAGGGGGCCUGAGAGGGUGAUCCCCCACACUGGUACUGAGACACGGACCAGACUCCUACGGGAGGCAGCAGUGAGGAAUAUUAGACAAUGGGUUAGCGCCUGAUCCAGCCAUCCCGCGUGAAGGACGACGGCCCUAUGGGUUGUAAACUUCUUUUGUAUAGGGAUAAACCUACUCUCGUGAGAGUAGCUGAAGGUACUAUACGAAUAAGCACCGGCUAACUCCGU
RNAcentral lists this ribosomal RNA (478 nucleotides) under uncultured bacterium. RNAcentral describes it as "partial 16S ribosomal RNA". It matches the Rfam family "Bacterial small subunit ribosomal RNA", at positions 28 to 506 of the family's 1533-position model. The record is from RNAcentral.